CCGGAGCGUUUCAGUGGGGAAGGAGCUGACUUCGGCGCACGGCCAGGCACUAUGUGGGAUCGUGAGUCCCCUUUCCCCUCUUUGAUUCAAUUCAUUUUACCGAAAAAGGCUUUUGCCCCACUUUAUAUAUAAAUCAAUGGUUGACAUACAAGCUGCAAAACACCCGACACACACACACACCAGAGGACCGGUGGAGGCUCAUGUAGAGGGCGGCGGCGGUGUUGGUGGCCGGAGCGUUUCAGUGGGGAAGGAGCUGACUUCGGCGCACGGCCAGGCACUGUGUGGGCUCGCUGCAAAACACCCGACACCACACACACCAGAGGCAGAUACAAGGGAGCUGGCGAACAACAACAGUACUCCAAACACCCCAAAGCAAACAAGUAGGCAGAAGAGCAUAGCUAAGGAUCUAAAGAGCUCUCCACCGUGAAUAGUCUUUGCGAGGAGACGAAACCGCAACUCGACGGAACUAGGGACUCCAAAGCGGUGCUUCCACAAAACAAACGACACUAAAGAGCCACCACCGCCUGAUCCAGAGAAUUGAGGUUUUCGCCCGGAGUAACACGAAGGACGCAGGGCCACUGCGAUGGAGCCUUCAAAGAAGGGAACGACGCAUGAACGCCGCCGCCAUUGGUCUGGCCCGAGCUAGACGAGAUUUUCACCCCGGCCACCACCCUCCGCCUCCGCCCAGGGUACGACCCUACAUGAGAGCGCCGGCUGCAGCACCAUCGAGAACGUCGAAGCCCGCCCCCAUGCCGCCCACACGGCCAUGACAACAAGCCCGUCCGUGCCCGAGCCAUGAGCUCCGCCCACGAGCCCGCAACUCCCACCACCAAGGGCAACGCAUCUAGACACUCCAAAUACCAUCAAAGGCACGAGCUUUGAUCCAACUAGCAGAUCCCUAGCACCAUCGGAGCCCCCAAUGACCGACCCGCCACGAACAACGGUCGGCGGCUAGGAGGCACGAGGCCAGGAAAAGGCUCCCGCCACCAAGGGCAAUGCAUCUAGACACUCCAAAGACCAUCAAAGGCACGAGCUUUGAUCCAACUAGCAGAUCCCUAGCACCAUCGGAGCCCCCAAUGACCGACCUGCCGCGAACAACGGUCGGCGGCUAGGAGGCAUGAGGCCAGGAAAAGGCGAGGGGGAGUGGAGCUCGUCCAGACCGGUGCACCCCUGUGUCGGUGACAGGUAGUCGGUCUACCCAUCCCUCCAGCAGCCUCCCCUGCGUCAUCCCUAACGCCCUACCACGGCCUCCGGCAAGAACCAAGCGAGGAAGAGGCGGCCACCCCUCCGUCGGCGAGGGCCGACCGCACCCUGUCGCUGAAGAAGGCCUCCAGAGGAGCGCCAAUCACCACCACACCACCUGUGCCUCCACGCCCUGGCCAGGUCCAGCCGAUGCCCCGUCACCCCAUCGGAGUAGAGUGAACACCAGCUGCAGCACCACCACCUUAGAAGGCCCGCCGACCACCCCUGCCGCCGCCAACCGCCACUACCAGCCGGAUCUGGACAGGGGCAGCCAGAUACGCCGCCAGCACGCCCCCGAGCCUCCAGGUCCCACGAGCCGAGGUGGAGGUGGAGGAGAGGAGGCGGCGGCAAUCCACCAGGAUGCCAGGAGGAGGGAGGAAGCCAGAGCAGAGGCUGGCCCGAUGCCCGAUGCCACCGAGCAGGGCAGGCACCCCGCGACGUCCGCCACCUGUGCGCGGGAGGAAGCAGCCCCGCCAUAGCCUGCGCCACGCGGCCUUUGCCUGGCGAUGCCACCGGCGGCAGCGGUGGAGGGGGGAGUGAGUUGGGGGCGGCGGCGCUAGGGUUGCCUCCCGGGGGCGCCCGCGGGAGCGCCUUGGGAGGGGAGGGUGGGUCUGGCCUCAUUCAAUUCAUUUUCGAGGAAGAUCAGGCACCUCAUUCCCGUCUGAGAGCCAAAAACCGGUUUUCCUUAGUGUCCAAGUGCAGCUGUGCGGGGCGAUGAGGGAGAAAUUGGUAGCCAUCCAGCCCAACCUACCGACCAUGGCAGGGGGGUGAAUCAAAUAUGUCUGUCUUCGUGUGUUUGCUUUUUUUGGACAGUUUAAGUUCUGUUCCAGACUUCAUGUGUUCUCAUUCUUGUAUUUAAUUUUUGUUUAUUAGUUUUGUCCUUUGGUCAUUUCUGAGUUCCUUGCACUCUUCAAUUUUGGAACUUCUUGAUAUUAGAAAUGGGAUUUGUUUAUCAUGGGAAGGGAAGGCCAGGCAGGCACUGCAAGUUCCACACUGCGUGCUCAUGGUAGGAUAGAAAUGGGAUUUGUUUUUGUAGGAUGAUUUAUAGACGGGGGUUCGCUAUGUGCGAUCAGGAGGAUAGUUACAUCAAGCAAGUGCGCCAGGUAGCAGAUGAGGACGCCGUCAGCGUGAGGGAUGCACUGUCGCAGCACUUGAUCGAAACUAGAGAGGACCAAGAAGUAGUAGCAUCCAGAUCAUCAGGAGAUAAAAGCAAGGACCAACGACAAAAAGCAGAUCGAGGAAAGGAAAAACUGCAUUGACAGCUAAGCUAGGGAGAUCAGAUCAUAUUGUCCUCUUGAUUGAAUCAAUCUGGUAUUCUUUUCUCCCUCUGCUAUUAAUUGUGCUUCAAGGUGCAGUUCUCUUCUUAGUUGAUUCCGUUGGUACGGCACUAAUUAACAACAGUGGAUAUGUGUCAGUGAUAUGUUGAACUACUUGGGAAGAAACUAAGCUGGUGCCUAUUAGCAACAUGCAAAGCAAAACAUUACCUGCUGAUUGACUGGCUGUGUAUAUUGCUUUCACUGUUCGAUCCUACAUUCAAUAGAGAAUUGCAUGAUUUGGACAAUUAAGUUAGCAGCGCUACGCUACUACUCCCUCCGUUCCAGAAUAGAUGACUCAACUUAAUAAACCCAGCUCUAGUCUCAUCUAUUUUGGAACAGAGGGAGUAUAUACUACCUUGAUACGCUUAAUAAACCCAGCUCUAGUCUCAUCUAGUCUAAAUCUUGAUGUAAGCAGGUGGAAGGGAGACAUCCUCAUCCUGCUGCUGCUCGGCCUGGUGGCGCGUGAAUGCAGUAGGUUGCUGUUUUCUGGUGAAAAGACAAGUGUUGUGUAAUUUAUAUUGUUGGCAACAAGCGCUUUUAUGAGGUUGAGAGAAGGACCAGUAAUGUAGCUGCAUGGUGACUAAGACUACCAUUUGUAGUUUAUAUUGUUUCAGUCGCUUGCUGUAAUCUGAAGGAAGAAUUGGUGAACAUAGUGGCGGUGAGUUGUUUAUGGACAUGUGUUUGGGCAGGAGCCAUAUGUAGCAGUUGUAAUGAUGUGUUUGGCUGCGCCUACUCUGCUUAGAGAAGAGAAGAGAAGAGAAGAGCAGAGCAGAGUGUUGAUAUUUAGAUAAGUAGUGAUGCAAGAGGUUUUUCUUUUGGCAGAGCAGAGCAGAGUCUUGAUAUCUAGAUGUCUGCCUUGCCUUUCAGUACUUGCCCUGGCCACCCUUUCUGAAAGAGUUUUCUUCUUUUGAUUUUAGAACUCUAACGUGAAUAAUUAGAUAUCAAUUAAUUAACAUGAUCAAGCAAUGAACAAGAUGGAAAGCUAUGGAAUAUCCCCCAGCAAGCAAUGAACAAGAUGGAAAGCUAUGGAAUAUCCCCCAGCAAGCAAUGAACAAGAUCAUGAAGUCAAAUCCUGCUCUGUAUGUGCUGUGGGAGAGAAUAAGAAAGGGACUUCAGUUGUAUUCAUCUGAACCCACCGAGCCAUAUCUGUCUUCACAGAACUACGGUGCGGAGGGAUGAUCAUCAAUCAAAUCAUAUGGAUAAUCCCCAAUUCAAGGAGAUGAGAUGCUAACAAGUCCAAGAUGUUGCUGAAGCCUGUCAAGACAAUGGUUACCGAACCGCAUCAUAUCUGGCCAUCAAUCUUUGACUGAUGAGCAGUGGCUCAAGAUUGAAUGUGCGCUCAGGGAUCUCAUUCUUUCUGAUCAUGCAAAUAAAAACAAUGUUAACACUUGUGCACUUACGCAAUCUGAGAUGAGAUUCGUGGUAUGAUACUUGGUGCUGAAAUAGCUCCGCGGUCACAGCAGAGGCAACAGAUAGCUGAGAUUGAGAAACAGUCCCGAGAGACAAAUCAUGUAAGCAAAUUAAGCUGCUGCCCUUACUCUAACUUUUCUGGCGUACCGAAGCCAUUGGGUCUAUCAGCGGCGGCGAAGAAAUGGGGGUUUUCUUGAUCUCUGGGGCGAUUGGGGGUUUUCUAGAGAAGUCGGCCGCCAUACUUGGGCUAUAAGGCUCGGCGAUGCGCGGGAAUAGAGGCAUCGAUGCUCGCAUCGCACCGUUGCGGUGCCGACUCAUGGCAAUCGGUGAAAAAUGGGCAGGGUGGAUGCGCGCCGACGAGCGUUCUGGCGGGAACAAAACUAAUCCAGUCCAGCCCUUGCCGCAACAUGGAGUGAUUUGACAAGUUGCGUGGGCUGACACUAGUUUUUAUCCACCCAUGUGCGAUUUUGCAGCAGCGCACACAAGUUAUUUGGUAUUGACGUAAAACUCAAUCGCACACAGGUUUGGCAGAUCAAUCGUGGCUGAUGAUUGAAUACAACGCAAACAAUUCGUAUGGAUGAAUUGUGUGCAAUGCAUCGCCCAUGGGUGCUUUAAAUGAACCAUGUCUAAUAAUUGGUUGAUCGCACACAAUUAAUUUUCCCGAACUGUGUGUACCCAAUGGCAAACAGUUUAAAAAAAAAUAAACAUGUUUCACAAAAAAAAAAGAUAAGUGUGUGCGAUGAUUCCAGUUUCACACACGUUGGUUUAUGGUGUGCCGUGUGUUCAUCACACAUGUUUAUUCUUUAUCAUGUGCGAAGGUGGGGGCUUAAUAGGACAGAUCUACACUAGUGAUAGUUCAGAGACCCCACCUGUACAUGUGCCCCUUCCAGCAACCCUAAGACCGUAUC
Triticum aestivum (bread wheat) is the source of this 4876-nucleotide long non-coding RNA. RefSeq lists it as uncharacterized. Lineage: Eukaryota; Viridiplantae; Streptophyta; Magnoliopsida; Poales; Poaceae. The record is from RefSeq and is a predicted model, not a curated record. The transcript has 6 exons.